Long non-coding RNA from Branchiostoma floridae (Florida lancelet), 981 nucleotides. RefSeq lists it as uncharacterized. The transcript is spliced from 3 exons. NCBI's taxonomy places the organism in Eukaryota, Metazoa, Chordata, Leptocardii, Amphioxiformes, Branchiostomatidae. The record is from RefSeq and is a predicted model, not a curated record.
UAAAACAUUCGGAAAACCCCGACUAUGAAUAGGCCUCACGUAAUGCUGCCGUGUCGAGUAUAUAAAGGCCAUUACCGUACGUAAAUCCCCCACUCUCCUGCCAACUUGAGGAAAACGAGUUGAUCUGCGUUCAGUCCAGGCUCCGAAGAAAACGAGUUCGAGAACAGCGAUGUCUGACCCCAAGGCAAACAUGGACAACAAGUCCGACCAAUGCAACCCCAACAACCCCAAGUUCGAGGGGCAUGAGAAGGGCUACAGUGGAACUGGGACCAAACCUGACCUGGACAACCACGGCAACCAGCUCAAUCCCAACAACGAGCGUUUUCAGCCCAAGAAGUCGUAAAGGACACGGCGGAAAACUCGCCUCCAGCUGGCUUCACUUCGCAUUGCUUCACGCGCCGGAUGACAUUACGUUAUUCAAUCUUUACAACAGCCAUUUGAUGCAAGGAGAGAUGUAGAAGUUGACAAUGUAAAGCAGCAUGCAUGGCUUGUUAUAAGAAAUAUUGCACAUUGCAAAUGCUACAGUACUAGUACUAUUAAUCUGCUCAAUGUAAUAUCCUCAAACAUUGGCACCAGCCAUUGGCAGCAUGCAUGUACACUGGUUAUCAUCUUGAAUAUUACACAAAUCUGCAUUCUUGUGUUAUAUCCAAUGCCUACUUGAGCAACGUACCAUAGCACAUUGUACUGUGUAAUUUUCCCACUCCCCCACCCGUUUUCACAAUUAAGCAUUACACAGCCCUGAAUACCAAUCAGUCGCGAUAGGGAAUACAAGUGAACAUAACAUAAUCGACAAAACUAAAUAGUGUAAUGAAGCAUGCACUGUUUUUACAAAGAUCAUAAAACCUGGAUAUGGAGGUAAAGGAUAUACAUGUCAGAGCAUGGCACAUUUCCACCCGAGCUAACAAUUUCUGCAUAUUUCGGUAGAUUUGGUGUGAUUUGCCUUUGAUGGUGAAUGCAAUAAAGCUGGCUUGAGCAACGUCC